RNAcentral lists this ribosomal RNA (450 nucleotides) under uncultured bacterium. RNAcentral describes it as "partial 16S ribosomal RNA". It matches the Rfam family "Bacterial small subunit ribosomal RNA", at positions 354 to 796 of the family's 1533-position model. The record is from RNAcentral.
GUGGGGAAUAUUGGACAAUGGGCGAAAGCCUGAUCCAGCCAUGCCGCGUGUGUGAAGAAGGUCUUCGGAUUGUAAAGCACUUUAAGUUGGGAGGAAGGGCAGUAAGUUAAUACCUUGCUGUUUUGACGUUACCGACAGAAUAAGCACCGGCUAACUUCGUGCCAGCAGCCGCGGUAAUACGAAGGGUGCAAGCGUUAAUCGGAAUUACUGGGCGUAAAGCGCGCGUAGGUGGGUUUGUAAGUUGGAGGUUAAAUCCCCGGGCUCAACCUGGGAACUGCCUCCAAAACUGCAUGACUAGAGUACGGUAGAGGGUAGUGGAAUUUCCUGUGUAGCGGUGAAAUGCGUAGAUAUAGGAAGGAACACCAGUGGCGAAGGCGACUACCUGGACUGAUACUGACACUGAGGUGCGAAAGCGUGGGGAGCAAACAGGAUUAGAAACCCCAGUAGUCC